UGCAUAUAUACUCUUAUACUUAAAGACAUGAAGAAUUGGAAAAUAUGAAAAAUGUCUCCUGUGCUUAUGCAUCAUCUCAGGCUGUUUCUUUGAACCGCAUCUAUAGUUUAGACUCAAAGGGCCGCACGCUUCCUCUGUCUCUUUCCAACAGUGAAACAUCAAGAUGAAGUGAAUUGGAAGCAGGCAUGUGUGGCCAAAAAAUUGACAAUAACUCCAUGAAAUUCUCCAAGGAAUGUUUCUAGAACCUUGUUGAAUUUAUGCCUUGUUGAACUCACAAAAAUCUGUUCAGGAGAUAAAAACAUCCCACUUGUUUCUGUCUAGCUGUAGUAAACUGCAGAAUGUACGUGCACAUAUAUAAGAUGUGGAAUUGUUCCAAUGUAUGAGUGUAUUGCACAGGAAAAAUGCUGAGGUUUAAAAACGGUUCUAUAUUACCUUCUGACAGCCUUUUUCAUGAGUGUGUAAUAGCUGCUCUGGAUAUGUCUUCUUGAGAUGUGAUAUCUGCUGUAUCAUCACCUGUCCUCCUCUACUCUGCCCACUGAAGUGGCUAAACGUUGAGGCUCCUUGAAAAGUCUUUGGCAGCAAAAGCAGAACGAGGAGAUUCUCAAAUGGUUUUCUGCAUGACGUAACAAUUGAUCGGAUGAGUUUGUAAAGGCUUUUAGUGAGAGAGUUGGUGGUUUACAUUGGUUUAUGUUGAGUGGAGAUGGUGACAUGUGCAGUGGCCCUGAACUGAAGGAGGUCAAAAGUAGUUCAUAGUUGGUGGACAUGGUUUUCACUGGCCCACUCACAUUUCCGUCUCACUGGAUCCAGCAGGGCUAGACAAAUCCUGUGAUUAUUUUGACAUUGGAGUUGUCUGGCAUUGCAAUGUUGCUGCUGCUAAGAUAUCAAGAGCGAAGGACCUUGCGUGCACCGCCAUCGAAGGGUAACAUGAUCUCUCCCUUAAUUUUAUUAUUAAUACUUUGCUCCGGAGAUGAAGUUCAUGUAUUGGCAUAUAGUGAGGAGGCAAAUGCACUUUUUGCAUCCAUAUUGUGUUUUGAUUAAGUGUACAGUCCUACUUUUAAUUUAUACUGAAAUUUGGAAACUUUUGUAACAAUCUGUGUUAUACUGUAAAUUACAUUUUUAUGACUGGAUUCUGUCAUUCUGGUAAUGUUUUCUGCAUUGCAUAAAUCAUAUAGGGCAAGGUAAGAUGGCCUCUUAAUUUAC
Long non-coding RNA from Cyprinus carpio carpio, 1200 nucleotides. The record is from Ensembl. NCBI's taxonomy places the organism in Eukaryota, Metazoa, Chordata, Actinopteri, Cypriniformes, Cyprinidae.